This is a long non-coding RNA of Papaver somniferum (opium poppy), 1624 nucleotides long. RefSeq lists it as uncharacterized. The record is from RefSeq and is a predicted model, not a curated record. NCBI's taxonomy places the organism in Eukaryota, Viridiplantae, Streptophyta, Magnoliopsida, Ranunculales, Papaveraceae. The transcript is spliced from 5 exons.
AUAAAAGACCUAAAAAUGCUUCCCACACACUUGUCUCAGUCUGUACGAGAAUCCAAAACCAAAUCUUUGCCAUUCAAAAAUCUUUACAUUCCGUAUGAGAUCCUUACCCGCCGUCGAAUAUUCUAGUUUAUCUCCACUCACUUUUAUUGUUCUCUUUCUCGGUUUCUCCUCCUUUCUAACUCCGCCUCUUUGGCAAAACCCUAAGAUGCAGACACCUUCUCUUUUCUUUUACUCUCUCAAUUUUUUCAGAACUAGAAGAAGAAGAGCGAGUUAAUGGAGCUUGAAAGGUUUUUGAAUUUGGUAUAUUUGUAUGUAAGAGAAGAAACAGCGAGAAGAUGCUAAGAACGAAAUUGUGACCAAUCUGCAAGUGAAAGAGGAAGAGAUGGAGAUCACGAAAUUUCAAUUGCCAACUAAAGAGGUUUGAUUUUAGUAAUAAUUGAAUAAAGUAUUUCCUAAAGAUUUAUAGCUACAGGCAGAGAGUUUUUUCUGUAGGUACAGAAAAAAGAGGGAGGGUUAGCUAUUUAGGUGAAAUAGAAUGCAAUUAGUGUCCACAAGAUCAAUGCUUUUUCAGUACUAGGUAUGGAUUUUCCUUCUAAUACUUCCUAUUAUCAUCCACAAUAGCAAUAAAUAAUUAUUUUGUUUAAGGUCACCAAUUAGGUUUUGCAGAAUUCGAAAGAACUUCAUGGUGUUAAUCAAGCAAAAAAAAGAUAAGUAGUGUGGACUAUAGUCAUGCUAUUCACAUCGGUAGGAAGAGUCCACUCUUCUCAAUGCAUGGAUAAUUUGCAUAGGUUUAUACAGAUUUGGUGGUGGAACUAACUAAAGCCUUAGGCAGACAGGGCAUAGAUAUGCCUUUGUUGCAGCUUUGGUGAAUGAUACAAUUGGUACAUUAGCUGGAGGCAAAUACUUCAAUAAUGAUGUUGCAGUUGCAGUUAUUUUGGGAACUGGAACGAAUGCGGCAUAUCUAGAGGGUGCAAAAGACAUUUCCUAUGUGGCAUGGUCUCCUACCUAAACCAGGAGAGAUGCAUGGUAAUGAAAAUGGAGUGGGGUGACAAACCUUGGUGAAAUGUGAAUUAUGUAGGACUCCUGAAAUGUCUGCCAUGCAUCAUGAUAGUCCCCAAAUUUGAGAGUGGUUGGGAGCAAAUUCAAGGACAUGUUUUGGGUAUGGUUUUGUUUGUUCCCUCCUAUAUAGUUGAACUCCUUACUCAUUUUCCCAUUAACAUCACCUUCGUCGUUUGGUCUUUGCUUUCGAAGAACUUCAGGAGAAAAACCAGUUGCACUUGCAUAUGUUGAUACUAAUUAAGCUGCUAAUUGAUGACAAUUAUGAUCGCAUGAUUGCUGAAAUCACUAAUAUAAGAGCGAUAUUGUGUGAUAGAGAAGAUGCAGUGCUUGGGGAUGUUUCAAGACGUGACACGAUUAAGGGGCCAAAAGCCUACGCAACUCCUGCUGGAGAGUGGCGAAGGUGACAGUAAAUUGAUUAAAAUUCUAACUUUCAGUUUGUAAAAAUAAUUAAUAAAGUUAAUAUUUUAUUUUCCUAUUCGUAUUUCUCUUCUAACGUGUAUUAGAAUAUUUUAUUUUCUUGAAGAAAAUAAUUAAUAAAGUUAAUUUUAGAUUCAGUUUGAAAUCA